This 389-nucleotide ribosomal RNA is filed under the name Dinophyceae sp. RNAcentral describes it as "partial small subunit ribosomal RNA". It matches the Rfam family "Eukaryotic small subunit ribosomal RNA", at positions 582 to 975 of the family's 1831-position model. The record is from RNAcentral. Lineage: Eukaryota; Dinophyceae.
AUUCCAGCUCCAAUAGCGUAUAUUAAAGUUGUUGCGGUUAAAAAGCUCGUAGUUGGAUUUCUGCUGAGGACGACUGGUCCGCCCCCUGGGUGAGCAUCUGGUUCGGCCUGGGCAUCUUCUUGGGGAACGUAUCUGCACUUGAUUGUGUGGUGCGGUAUCCAGGACUUUUACUUUGAGGAAAUUAGAGUGUUUCAAGCAGGCCCGCGCCUUGAAUACAUUAGCAUGGAAUAAUAAGAUAGGACCUCGGUUCUAUUUUGUUGGUUUCUAGAGCUGAGGUAAUGAUUAACAGGGACAGUCAGGGGCACUCGUAUUCCGCCGAGAGAGGUGAAAUUCUCAGACCAGCGGAAGACGAACCACUGCGAAAGCAUUUGCCAGAGAUGUUUUCAUUA